GGUAGUCCACGCCGUAAACGAUGUCGACUUGGAGGUUGUGCCCUUGAGGCGUGGCUUCCGGAGCUAACGCGUUAAGUCGACCGCCUGGGGAGUACGGCCGCAAGGUUAAAACUCAAAUGAAUUGACGGGGGCCCGCACAGGCGGUGGAGCAUGUGGUUUAAUUCGAUGCAACGCGAAGAACCUUACCUACUCUUGACAUCCAGAGAACUUAGCAGAGAUGCUUUGGUGCCUUCGGGAACUCUGAGACAGGUGCUGCAUGGCUGUCGUCAGCUCGUGUUGUGAAAUGUUGGGUUAAGUCCCGCAACGAGCGCAACCCUUAUCCUUUGUUGCCAGCGGUUAGGCCGGGAACUCAAAGGAGACUGCCAGUGAUAAACUGGAGGAAGGUGGGGAUGACGUCAAGUCAUCAUGGCCCUUACGAGUAGGGCUACACACGUGCUACAAUGGCGCAUACUAAGAGAAGCGACCUCGCGAGAGCAAGCGGACCUCAUAAAGUGCGUCGUAGUCCGGAUUGGAGUCUGCAACUCGACUCCAUGAAGUCGGAAUCGCUAGUAAUCGUAGAUCAGAAUGCUACGGUGAAUACGUUCCCGGGCCUUGUACACACCGCCCGUCACACCAUGGGAGUGGGUUGCAAAAGAAGUAGGUAGCUUAACCUUCGGGAGGGCGCUUACCACUUUGUGAUUCAUGACUGGGGUGAAGUCGUAACAAGGUAACCGUAGGGGAACCUGC
RNAcentral lists this ribosomal RNA (726 nucleotides) under uncultured bacterium. RNAcentral's name for it is "bacterial SSU rRNA". It matches the Rfam family "Bacterial small subunit ribosomal RNA", at positions 789 to 1515 of the family's 1533-position model. The record is from RNAcentral.